This 424-nucleotide ribosomal RNA is filed under the name uncultured prokaryote. RNAcentral describes it as "bacterial SSU rRNA". It matches the Rfam family "Bacterial small subunit ribosomal RNA", at positions 355 to 796 of the family's 1533-position model. The record is from RNAcentral.
UGGGGAAUAUUGGACAAUGGGCGCAAGCCUGAUCCAGCCAUGCCGCGUGAGUGAUGAAGGCCUUAGGGUUGUAAAGCUCUUUUACCAGGGAUGAUAGUGACAGUACCUGGAGAAUAAGCUCCGGCUAACUCCGUGCCAGCAGCCGCGGUAAUACGGAGGGAGCUAGCGUUGUUCGGAAUUACUGGGCGUAAAGCGAGCGUAGGCGGCCAUUCAAGUCAGAGGUGAAAGCCCGGGGCUCAACUCCGGUACUGCCUUUGAAACUAGAUGGCUAGAAUCCAGGAGAGGUGGGUUGAAUUCCGAGUGUAGAGGUGAAAUGCGUAGAUAUUCGGAAGAACACCAGUGGCGAAGGCGACUCACUGGACUGGUAUUGACGCUGAGGUGCGAAAGCGUGGGGAGCAAACAGGAUUAGAUACCCCCGUAGUCC